Long non-coding RNA from Vombatus ursinus (common wombat), 1417 nucleotides. RefSeq lists it as uncharacterized. The transcript is spliced from 2 exons. The record is from RefSeq and is a predicted model, not a curated record. Lineage: Eukaryota; Metazoa; Chordata; Mammalia; Diprotodontia; Vombatidae.
ACUUGGGCCUGAGAACCAGAAGAAGCUGUCAGCCCUGGUUUCACCGGUGUCUGUAGCCGUCAGCCACAGAGAGGAGGAAAGGGGAAAGACAGAAGAGACAGAAGAGAUUUGAUAAGGAACUAUUUCAUCACUGAUGUCAUCCCGCCAUUGAACUGCGGAUCUCUCCCAGGCGAUUUGGAAUCCAGCAGCAGUUCAGCAGCAGGAGUGAGAGAAGCUACUCCAGAGGAAAGUUGUGGACAGAGAUGGACAUAAUCCAGCCUUGAGCUUGGUCAGGGCGUCUGAAGCAGAGGCCAAUAUUUACAACUGUGCCACAAGGAGAUUGGUGAAGAUGGCAUGCACAUGAGAAGGGUGGAGAUCAAAUGGAUAACAGCACAGGGACACUAUUGAGGCAGGGGUCUUGGUCCUGAGCCAACAAUCCCAAUUUUUUUUUUGUUUUGUUUUGUUUUGUUUUUUUUAAGAACAUAAGGAAAUACAUUUAUUUUCUUUCAUGGCAGCCUGCAGGAAAACUAUGAAAGUAACAGAGGAAGGGGGAAACAUAAAAACGACAAAAAUUCCAUCUAGCUAUAUUCUCUUGCCUCUAAGGUCAUUCUGCUCAAUGUCUCACACGCUCAAUGACCAUUUCUCCCAAGGCAAACUGGAUUGAAGCCAAGCUGAACUUGGGUACAUUUCUCAGCCUCAAAUAGGCACCCUUCAUAGAAAGUAUCGGGACCGCCUCUAGGGUCCUCAGUGGAUUUCUCAGGAACAGUCAUUCUAAUAACAAAGAAGGAUUUUUCUUCCUGUGUCCUUACUUAACACAAAAUCCCUUCUAAAAACUACAUAGGAUUUUGUGACUGAUACAAUACAUUCCUCUAAAUUACUUAGGGCAAAUAUGUACACAUGGCCACUCACUCUAGCAGUCCUCAGGCUAAAACACAGACAACCUGCCUUCAGUCGGGGUUACUGUCCAUGUGUCUGCCUAAGUAAAAUCACCACCUUUUGCCAGAACUAUUCUGGUAAGACACUUAAUCGGUCUCCCUGCCUCAAGUUUCCUCCUCUCUUCCAUCCAUCCUCCACCAGCUGCGGAAGCAAUUUUUCUAAAGUUCAGGUCUGCCUAUGUCAUCCUUGAACUCCAUAAACUCCAAUAGCUCCCUAUUACUUACCUCUAAGAGCAAAUAUAAACCUCUCUUUUUGACAUUCAAAGCUCUUCACAACCUGCCCUCCCCCAUUUACUUUUCCAGCCUUUUAACAUAUCCCUCCCCUUCUCACACUUGAAAGUUCAGCCAAACUGGACUUCUUACUGUUUCAAAUUUUGUUGCGAAUAUCCUGAUCUCUCCAGCUUUUAGUGCCUCCCUGAAAACAAUUACUUUGUGUCUCUUUUUGUCACUCCUGUAUAUCAUGUUCCUUUUCCCCAAUAGAAUAUAAACUCUGAGAGCAGGAA